AGCAUAUCAAUAAGCGGAGGAAAAGAAACCAACAGGGAUUGCCCUAGUAACGGCGAGUGAAGCGGCAACAGCUCAAAUUUGAAAUCUGGCUUCGGCCCGAGUUGUAAUUUGUAGAGGAUGCUUUGGGCGCGGCUCCAACUGAGUUCCCUGGAACGGGACGCCACAGAGGGUGAGAGCCCCGUAUAGUUGGAUGCCUAGCCUAUGUAAAGCUCCUUCGACGAGUCGAGUAGUUUGGGAAUGCUGCUCAAAAUGGGAGGUAAAUUUCUUCUAAAGCUAAAUAUUGGCCAGAGACCGAUAGCGCACAAGUAGAGUGAUCGAAAGAUGAAAAGCACUUUGAAAAGAGGGUUAAAUAGCACGUGAAAUUGUUGAAAGGGAAGCGCUUGUGACCAGACUUGCGCCGGGCGGAUCAUCCGGUGUUCUCACCGGUGCACUCCGCCCGGCUCAGGCCAGCAUCGGUUCUCGUGGGGGGAUAAAGGCCUCGGGAACGUAGCUCCUCCGGGAGUGUUAUAGCCCGGGGCGUAAUGCCCUCGCGGGGACCGAGGUUCGCGCAUCUGCAAGGAUGCUGGCGUAAUGGUCAUCAGCGACCCGUCUUGAAACACGGACCAAGGAGUCAAGGUUUUGCGCGAGUGUUUGGGUGUUAAACCCGCACGCGUAAUGAAAGUGAACGUAGGUGAGAGCUUCGGCGCAUCAUCGACCGAUCCUGAUGUAUUCGGAUGGAUUUGAGUAAGAGCGUUAAGCCUUGGACCCGAAAGAUGGUGAACUAUGCUUGGAUAGGGUGAAGCCAGAGGAAACUCUGGUGGAGGCUCGCAGCGGUUCUGACGUGCAAAUCGAUCGUCAAAUCUGAGCAUGGGGGCGAAAGACUAAUCGAACCAUCUAGUAGCUGGUUACCGC
This 891-nucleotide ribosomal RNA is filed under the name Trichocladium arxii. RNAcentral describes it as "eukaryotic LSU rRNA". It matches the Rfam family "Eukaryotic large subunit ribosomal RNA", at positions 37 to 961 of the family's 3401-position model. The record is from RNAcentral. Lineage: Eukaryota; Fungi; Ascomycota; Sordariomycetes; Sordariales; Chaetomiaceae.